AAACAAGAUCAACUCUAGUUGAGAGUUGGGAUUGGUCUUAUACAUCUAGUGGUGUAUUUGACUUGAUUAUAUCGAGUUGAUGAGCUUCCCAAUGCGGCUCAAUGUGUGCUAGCGAGACAGUCGUCCCGAUCUCACAUUUAUUGUCGCAUUGCAGAGUUCUGUCCACAGCUCGCUAAACAACCUAAAAAUCAUAUCAA
RNAcentral lists this unclassified non-coding RNA (197 nucleotides) under uncultured Rozellomycota. RNAcentral describes it as "uncultured Cryptomycota sequence contains ITS2". Lineage: Eukaryota; Fungi; Rozellomycota. The record is from RNAcentral.